This 295-nucleotide long non-coding RNA is filed under the name Lathyrus oleraceus (garden pea). Its description in RNAcentral is "Pisum sativum (pea) long non-coding RNA (PSAT_LNC002069)". Lineage: Eukaryota; Viridiplantae; Streptophyta; Magnoliopsida; Fabales; Fabaceae. The record is from RNAcentral.
GAAAAUAUCGAUAAAACCCUUAAAAGAAACUGAAAAUGAUCGUCGCAACCAAAUUCAAGUUCGAGAGUCGAUUAUGCAAGGGGAAGGUAUUAGCACCCCUCACAUCCGUUGUACUCAACGAGAACCAUUUUGUUAUAUUUGUGAAUAAAACGUUAACUUUCGAUAUUUUUUUUCUUCUAGAUAUUAAGAGUUUAAAAGGAAAAGAGAAAAGGCCGCAAAAAAGGUUUUUAUUAUGGUGCUUGACAAGAUUAAGAGUCUUGCUCCUAUGUAUCUUCAGGUGCGAUGAGGAAUUCAA